UAUAAAACCAAACAUUUAGUAUCUGGAAAUAUGUGUCAAUUUUAUCUCUUAGAAUUGUGGAUUUUAUUGUCAAGACAGAAUGGCUGUUCAUUUAUUUUAUAAAAGCAUCUCCUUCUAUAACUCAAAAUUUUCUUUAAGUGUCAUAUAAAAGUGUACAUUUUACUUUUAAGCAACUAAUUUAGAUACCUAAGAAAAACUAUGUGCAUUAGGAAAAGUCAUGUUUUUCUUCUCAGAAAGGUUGAUCACAUGACAUGUCUACUAAGAAUUUUCACCUCUGUACUUGUAUGUAUAUUUUAUUGUUACUCAAUCUUGUAUUUUAUUUACAAAUUCAACACUGUCAACCCUGGGAAUUCUAAAAUACCAAUGUAUUUUUAGGUUGUAGCUAAUGUUGUAUUCACUUUCAAUUCUCAGUUGUCCACACUGGUGAUAUAAGAGGAACAAAUCAGAAUCAUUAAAUACUUUGUAAUGCCAUCAUAAACUCAUAUAUUCAUCCUCAAACUCCCUUGUUUAAUGCUAAUUGGUGGCCUGGAACUUCACUGAGAUGCAAAAUCAAGAACUGAAGCCUAGUUGCUAGAUAACGAAAAGCUAUAAAUGUUUAUGUAUGUGAAUUUUAAAUUAGAAUAACCGUCUUAAACUCCUACUUGCCAUUUCUAAGGCAAAGCAUUCAUUUUAAUAUUGUACUUUGCCUUUUCAUUCAGUUAGUGGAGUAAGUCAUGAAACCCUUAGGAAGAAAAACAAGUUAUGACUUAUUCACUAAAAUUGAUGCAAGACAGUUGGUUCUAGAUGACCAUGGCCAUGUGUUCAUCAUAUAAAACCUUCAGUUCUCUCUAUGGUGCUUGGCUGGAGAUUGACAUGUGAGGAUGUGCCAAUCAUAUUAAAUGGAUUUGGUCUAUGUGGGUGAUAUGUGGCCUGAAUGUAACUGUGAUAGACUGAAAUUUGUUCUUAGCUCUCAAAAUCCACUGAAGAAGUCAAGUGAAGGUGGGUAAAAUAGGGAGAUUAGUGACAACUUUGUGCCAAAUUUUUUAAAAAAUGGAAGCAGGUAGCCAAUAUUAGAAUGAUAAUUUAAGGGUGUGGUUGAAUUUUAGUUAGUUGUCACAUAGUUAUUGAACCUCAUAUGCUCAGUGCUGUGGGAAUCAAACAUGGAAGAGGUAUGGCUCCUGCCCCUAAUGAGAACAAGGGGGAAAAAUCCAGAUAUAAUCUAAAUGCUAGGUUAUGUCAGGGUAUAGGAACACAGAGAAUGGGGGACCUGUAAGAACUGGAAGAGUCAGAGAGGGCUCCAUUGAAGAGGUCAAACAUAAUUCCGGAAAGAAUUAGGUAGUGAGGAGAUUGUGCCAGGAAAAUAAGUGGGAAAGGCCACAGUUAUGUUUCCUUUGAAUGGAAGAGAGACAAAGCUAUCAGCUAUAGAUCAUUGUUUUCUUAAGACAGCCAAACUGGCCCUUUGAAACCAUUCAAAUUACCCCAGUUUAGCUCCCUACCUUUUAGUCUCCGUGAGGAAGACAAGCUGUUGCAUUAUCAUAUUCCUCUGUGCUGAGCAGCUCAAGACUCAGCCACAAUAUGCAAAUUGCUUUAAUGCCAUAUUACGGCAGUUGAUUUAGACAUUUGCCAGUGCACCAAACCAUGAGAGAUUGUCCGACCUAAUGCCACCUGGCAGAUGUGUACCCAGAGAUUUUUCUGUAGCUCCAUGUUUCCCAUAAAGGGCAUUGGAAAUGCACAGAUGAAGAUCUUCCUUUGGAACCAGGCACAUUUGGCCCCUUCUCAGUGACUGCACUGUGGAACUCUUCUUAAGAAAAUAUUGAAAACAGCUUAAUGCUUUCAUAUAGUGACCGACAUUUAGUUGAAAACUACUGCUGCAUAGCAAAUAUUGUGACUCUUCAUGUGUCCACAGGAGCUCUUGUGUGGGUUUAAAGCUAUGAAGUGUAUUCACAUUGUGAAGUUUUAAUUAUCUUUAUUGAAAUUAAUUGUGUAAAAAUGGUAUGUGCUCUAUUAGGUAUUCAGUUUGUAUGUGAAUUCUAUAAAGAAAGUGGUUUUUGUUCUUUGAGUUUGUUUUAUUUCUUGAAGAUUACAAUAAAUAUCUAAGAGACUAUAUUCCUG
RNAcentral lists this long non-coding RNA (2091 nucleotides) under Homo sapiens (human). RNAcentral's name for it is "non-protein coding lnc-GAPT-36:2". Lineage: Eukaryota; Metazoa; Chordata; Mammalia; Primates; Hominidae. The record is from RNAcentral.